This 448-nucleotide long non-coding RNA is filed under the name Vigna radiata. RNAcentral's name for it is "long non-coding RNA (VRAD_LNC000967)". The record is from RNAcentral. Lineage: Eukaryota; Viridiplantae; Streptophyta; Magnoliopsida; Fabales; Fabaceae.
AUUGUAUGUGUUGAAAAGGUUCAAGUUUGGGGUUGUGUGGGGAAAGUAAAAGGAAAAAGCAAAAGCAUUGAGUUCAAAAGAAUGAAAAAGAAAAAUGCAUGAGAAAGAAAAGAAAAGAAGAAAAGAAGAAAAACAUGUAAAAGUGAACUCAAUGUAAAAAAAAGGAAAAAAGGGAAAAGUUGGGAAUGAGUGAGAUUGGUUAAAAAGAGAGUAUGCUUGAACUUUGAAUGAUGAUUUAAACUCUCUUAACUCAAGGAUUUUGUAUUCCAGAAAAACCAAUUUUUCUUGAUAGUCCAGCCACAAUACAAACCUUAGAAAAAGUCCUUGUAUGACAUGUGCAUGUAAAGAUUUUGAUUAUUUUAGAUGAAUGACAAUAUUGUUUUAUGUGACAUGUGAACAGUAGAGAGUAGAGUGACCUCCUAAACACUUGAGAGAUUGAGUGAAACAC